This 62-nucleotide transfer RNA is filed under the name Aporrectodea longa. Its description in RNAcentral is "partial tRNA-Val". Lineage: Eukaryota; Metazoa; Annelida; Clitellata; Crassiclitellata; Lumbricidae. The record is from RNAcentral.
CGGAGCAUAGCAUAUAUAAUGCUUUUUACUUACACUAAAAAUAAAACACCUGUUUGUUCCGC